UCUCGGCUCUCAAGGCAACAGUCUCGUGCAACCGCUCGACUCGACGAGCAACGACGAACAAGAGAGUACGAACGAAGCUCCUCUUCCUCCAUCGCAAGCUCUACCGCCGCUAAGUCACCUCUCUAAACUUGAUCCUUCGCCGCUACUCCCGGUGCACCUCAUCGAUCUCCUUUACAGCUACUGCUUCGUGAUGCGGCUUUACAAUGGCGAGUGGAAGGACAGUCCGCUGGACGCGGCCAUGGAUUUGCUAGCGACGUCCAGAGUUCUAUCGCAGUCGGCUCAACCCGAGACGGUCACCGAGGUGAUAUGGUACUGCUCCGAGGCCGUGUGCUCGCCGGCUUUCAGGCACGCGGGUGGCAGCCAGCUCAGUCUGUUGCUCUGCGAUGAUACAGCGGCGCUUCUCCGGAUUGGAAGGCCCGCGGUGGUACGUGCCUUGGCAGAUCUCCAACGAAUGCUGGAAGCCUCCAUCGACGAGUCCAAGAAGCUCAAGAUGGUCGACACCAAGAAGGAGAGCAAGCUUCUCCAGGCGGCUUCCAGGAAAGCUUUCUUCCUUAUGUGCUGGGCGAACCAACUUGGCGAUGGCGUCGCUUGUUUUGCAGCUCUGGUGGACACCGAGAAGGAGAGACGUGCCGAAUCCACUGAGUCGACGGUGACGACGGCGAGGACAACGAUGAGGACGACGAGGACGACGACCAAAGCAGUUUUGUCUGCCGCUGGCGAUUGAAUGCUACUCGAAGCUCGGUCACUGUGUCAAGCUCUUCUUUUGUUGAUCUGCCGUUGUCCGUGUGCGUAGCCGAAGUUUCAUCAGGUGCAUCGCAAGUAAGCAACCAAAAGCUCGCUCCCUCGCUCGCGAUUCAUCCAUCCUUGCGGAAAGUGGGAGAAUCAAUCUUUUCGUUUCAAACAAGAUCUAAGCUUUUUUCCACUACGUUUUAUUUUGUCGCUGGGCUGCACUGGAUCCAAUUACCAAAUGAAAUAUCAUAUCUUCCUUUCUUGCGAGACGAAAAUGUUUCUUUUUUCUCUUCUGCCUUCUCCGUAGUGGGAUCCCCGUCCAUUAAACUGCGAAAACGACGAGGUUUGAAUUGAAUCCAAAAUAGUACAUAACAUCAUAGGCAUACAUCUAAACCUCACAUCAAUCAUCCCCUCAUCUCGAAAGGAUGGUGUUGACUUGCAAACCAGUUUUUUUUUUCUUUGUCUAUGCAUCUCAUAACUUCCAUCCAUAUCGAUCCGAUCGAGCUCUUAAAUGGAGGAUCUUGCUAGCAGCGCCACUACCAGCGCCGCCGCCGCGCCGCCAGGGCGGAGGGAAGGGAAGGAACAGUGGGCAAAACCGGCUUAAAACGCAGCUCAUCACUUGAUGCCCACUCUCUGCUUUUCCAUAAUUCGGACUGAUCCCCUUCAACGCGGUCUUCUCGCUCAAAUUCUUUCACCUCGAGGUGCGCCAGAUGAGAGCAGGCGGAGAUGGACGGCAGCUAGGGAUCUAGAGCAUCUAGGAGGCAAGAUCAUGAGGUAUUGGAGAUUCUUGGCAACUUCAUGUGGCCGGAUCGCUUCUUCCAGUGCCCGGAGCUGAGGAGCAGCAUAAUAGCGUUGAGAUUGGAGCUGGAAUCGCUCCAUCCUAUGUCGCAAUCCAUGCCGCGGUGUUCCCAAGCUUACAGUUGCAAUCUAAGUGUGUUGGGACGUGCGCCCCAAUCAACGUCCCGAGGAUGUGAUUUGCAGCUUGCUGCCGCGCAUGCGAUCAAACACUCCUCCUUCCUCGGAUGAGAGACAGAGCGCGAGAUAAGAAUGCAGAUAGGUGUGCAUUGAUCAGGAACUGAGGCACAGCUUCGCCACCAAUAUAAUGGAUGCAAAUAUCAUUAUAUGGCAUUCUCAACAUAUUUGGGGAUUAGGGUUCUCGGGUAAGGAAAUGGCGCGUCAUCGGUUUUGCUUAGAUUCUCGUUUUCUUCUCGCAGCUGCCAGAAGCAUUACGCGAAUUACACGUGCCCGCUGCAAUCUUCGCUAUUGCUCGCUCCAGUGUUACAAGGUGAGGGAAUUCGUGGUGUUUCUGGUGUGACAGGGCCACAGUGUGCAAUGCACAGAAGCCUUCUCUCGCGACAACGUUCUCGCGGAGAUGAAGAAUGUGGAGGUGUCCAAGGAGACGAAGAAAAAAUUUCUGCAAGCAUUGCAAAGGCAAAGCGAGGAACGAAAGGAAUCCAUUAACGAUGGUCUGGCAGCUAAGUUUUCCCUGGAUGGAUAGAGUUUCUAACUUGGCAUGGUGGCACAGAAGAGGAGGAGACUUUCAUCUCGGACGAGACCUUGCACAAAUUAAUUGCUGGUAAGUUCUUCGCGUGUUCUUCGGUUCAUUCACUCACUCGUUCUUUUCAUUUUUCUUCUUCCUAGGAGCCGAGGUCAUAGUGGCUGAUUUAUCCUUGGACGAACUAAAAGCGUUUCAACGAGCUGUGGCAAGCGGAGAGCUGUGCCACCUUAUCGAGCCAUGGGAGCCCUGGUGGCUAAAACCGGGUGCCAAAUCCUUGACUCUCGGCUCUCAAGGUAACAGUCUCGUGCAACCGCUCGACUCGACGAGCAAAGACGAACAAGCGAAGCUCCUCUUCCUCCAUCGCAAGCUCUACCGCCGCUACGUCACCUCUCUAAACUUGAUCCUUCGCCGCUACUCCCGGUGCACCUCAUCGAUCUCCUUUACAGCUACUGCUUCGUGAUGCGGCUUUACAAUGGCGAGUGGAAGGACAGUCCGCUGGACGCGGCCAUGGAUUUGCUAGC
Molecule: long non-coding RNA, 2748 nt
Filed under: Selaginella moellendorffii
Lineage: Eukaryota; Viridiplantae; Streptophyta; Lycopodiopsida; Selaginellales; Selaginellaceae
Description: long non-coding RNA (SMOE_LNC002205)
Source: RNAcentral